Triticum aestivum (bread wheat) is the source of this 556-nucleotide long non-coding RNA. RefSeq lists it as uncharacterized. The transcript has 3 exons. The record is from RefSeq and is a predicted model, not a curated record. Lineage: Eukaryota; Viridiplantae; Streptophyta; Magnoliopsida; Poales; Poaceae.
GAUGCCAGAGGACAAAGAGGGCAAGCGUCUUGAGCUGGAGAAGGUGUUAGCGUUACACGAUGAAAGCGUGGAGCCAAUCAAACUUCCUUUCUCACUUUUGGAGGAAAUUACAGGAAAUUUCUCUGAAGAUAAUCUACUUGGCAAAGGUGGAUUUGGAUCUGUUUACAAGGGAACACUUCGGAAUGGGAUGAUUGCAGUCAAGAGAAUGUCUGUUGUAUUGAAUACACUACGGAGCCAUAAGAUUAAGAUGGAGGAUUUCUUCAAUGAGGCUAUAUGUAUGAAGGAGGCUAAGCACAAAAAUAUCGUACGUCUUCUUGGAUACAGUUGUGACAAAGAACCUGAGAAGGUUCAAGGCUGUGAUGAAGCAACACGCGAAAUGUUUCUCUGCUCUGAGUACAUACCUAACGGCAGCCUUCAAGAGUACAUCAAAGACGAAUCUUCUAGAUUCCAAUGGAACACACGCUAUCACAUAAUCAUGGGAAUGUGUGAGGGUGUAGAUUAUCUCCACCGGAUGCAUGAGCCGAUGGUUCAUAUGGAUCUCAAGCCCUUAAAUAUA